UACGAAGGGGGCUAGCGUUGCUCGGAAUCACUGGGCGUAAAGCGCACGUAGGCGGCUUUUUAAGUCAGGGGUGAAAUCCUGGAGCUCAACUCCAGAACUGCCUUUGAUACUGAGAGGCUUGAGUCCGGGAGAGGUGAGUGGAACUGCGAGUGUAGAGGUGAAAUUCGUAGAUAUUCGCAGGAACACCAGUGGCGAAGGCGGCUCACUGGCCCGGUACUGACGCUGAGGUGCGAAAGCGUGGGGAGCAAACAGG
Molecule: ribosomal RNA, 253 nt
Filed under: uncultured bacterium
Lineage: Bacteria
Description: partial 16S ribosomal RNA
Rfam family: Bacterial small subunit ribosomal RNA
Source: RNAcentral